This is a non-coding RNA of Doryrhamphus excisus (bluestripe pipefish), 6844 nucleotides long. Lineage: Eukaryota; Metazoa; Chordata; Actinopteri; Syngnathiformes; Syngnathidae. The record is from RefSeq and is a predicted model, not a curated record.
UGAGAGAUAGAGAGAGAGAGAAAAAAAAAAAAGAUCAUCCCUCUCGAUGCUGUGGAUUAUGUUCUCAUCUAGGAUUACACUUUCAAUGUUAAGACACACAGGCUUGAGGUUUUAAUGGCGAUGGGUUAAUACUCCGGAUUUAACUCUACUAUUUAAAAGCAUAUCCUUCAUGCUGCGGCAAGUACACUAUCAGACUGGCGGGGAUCCAUACGUCUGACUACCACAUGCAACAGCGACCCUUUACCGAUCAGCAGGUGUUAAUGGCAGCUGCAAAGUAUCAGGAGAUGAGAGGUUUUUCACAUCACGGCUCAGCGCCUCAAAUUUCGCUGACCGAGAGCACCCCGGAUAUGAACAGGAAGUUGGUGUUGCUGCCGGGGAACCAGCUCCAGGUCCCCUUGGAGCAAGCCUAUGCCACCUCCAUCAAGGCGCAGUCACCUGAGGAACAGCAAAAGUUUAUGAAUGUCAUCCGUGGGCGCGUGGAGGACCAUUCCGGCUCCAUGGAUCCGAGUCAGAGUGCCCCCUGCACCCCCCGGCACACUGAUAGAAAACCUCUUGAUGAUAAAUGCAACAAAGAUUCCGAGAAGUUCUUCAACUUAUUGGCCAACACUCAGGGUCGCCGUCUCGAUGACCAGCGAGUGUCUCUCCCGUCGCUGCCUGGAAUCGACAACAAGGAUUCUCAAUCUGCCUCAGAUUCCAGCUACUUGUGCUACAUGGUCUCCAAAGUUCAGGGGAAUAGAAUGGACGACCAAAGAUGCUCCUUAAGUCAAAUCCAGCCUGCAGAGGAGGGCCAGUCAGCCAAAAAGGAUAACGCUGCUUCAGGCAUUUCACGCUCAGCCUCCUUCAGUCCAGGUUCAGACAAUGUUAAGAAAUCCCCCAUAAAGGACAUAAGUCCAGCUGAGCAGGACCAUUUCCUUUCCUUAAUGCAACACGCCCAGCGUGGGCGCAUGGACGAGCAGAGAUGUGUCCUGAAUGUCAGUCCCCAGUCUACACCGAAGCGUAAGCCCACCCAGAGCACUGCACCCACAGGUCCAGAUUCAGAGCAAUUCUUCAACAUGCUGGCCCACUCCCAAGCCAAACGUCUGGAUGAUCAACGUGUGUGUCUUCCAACUCUGCCGGGUAUCCAGAAUGGAGGCGCCUCUAAUGAUGCGAGCUAUUUGUGUUACAUGGUCUCCAAAGUACAGGGCUCUCGGCUUGAUGAUCAGAGAUGUUCUGCGCCUCAUAUUUUGCAAAAUUUGUGCACCCCGAACACCCAGCGCAAAGUCUAUAACACUUCAGAAGCACCUGAUAAAACGCUCAAGAGGUCAGGCUCCCUAAAGCAGGACAAAAGUGAUCACCAGCAGCAGAUCUCUGCGGCCGAGCAACAGCAAUUCUUAAAAAUCAUGAAUCACGCUCAGAGCGGACGCAUGCAGGACCAGCGUUGCUCUUUACAGCAAAGCAGAAGCACGCCUUCCUCUCCCAAACACAGCGGCAGCUCCCCAAAUGAAGUAGCAGCAGGUGCAGACGCAGAUGCAUUAUUUCGCAUGGUGGCCAGCUGUCAGGCUCGCAGGCUGGACGACCAGAGAGUCACUCUUCCCUCUCUGCCGGGGAUAAGUGGGAGGACGAGCGAGGACAAACACAACAGGAGCCGUGCAAAAGCUGGAAUUCCAGUUUGUGCACCACACAUAACCGUGGCUGAAAGUACACCACCGAUAUCCAGAAGCAACAACUCCACCCCUUCUACCUCUCAGCUGGGCUGCAGUAUAACAAAGUCGGCAUCCUUCAGCACGGAGACAGAAUAUCAGAAGGCGCUUAACUCCACAGCUCAGAUGACUGUGAAGGUGUCGAUGAGCUUCACACCACAGAUGGGGCAUAAGAACUUCAACCAGCCUUGCACGUUCCCAGAGGUCUACCUCACCCUCGGAGCUCCAGGAGAAAAUCUCGUCAUCCCUCUGAGUCCAAAACCCGGAAGACCCAUGUCUUUGAAUCUGAACCUCAUCCCCAAAGAAGACGUCAAGUCCACACACGGCUCACCAAGGAAACCCCGCUCCAGACCGUCAUCUCCCCAGCCCAAAGCGGCUCGUAAGGCCCAUUCUGGUAAUUCUUACCCUCCCGAACAGGGCGGGUCUGCGGCCAGCCCCAUCAGUCCGCAUGAAGACUGCUUCUCCGUGAUCGAGAAGGUUCACGCCACUCAUCUUCAAAUGGGAACCACUCAAGGGGGACACAAAUGCAAAGGGGAUGCGGUCAGAGUGAGGGGCAAUGGAAAAACCGGUGGAAAAACUAAGAAGGAUGGUGGGAAUAAACACUAAAUACUUUAUAUUUAUCAUCGUACUAAGACCAAAUCAGUAAAUCUAAAACAUUUAGUUUCUAUUAAACACACGUUCAAUUCCUCUGUAUUAUCAUCCGUCCAUCCAUUUUCUACACUGCUUUUCCUCUGCAGUGGGCCGUGGAGUAAACCUGGAGUUUAUAAUCAUAUAUAAUAAAUAAGCAUUCAUUCAUUCAUUUUCUUACGCUUAUCCUCACGAGGGUUACAGGGUAUGCUGGAGCCUAUCCCAGCUGUCUUCGGAGGAGAGGCGAGGUACACACUGGACUGGUCGCCAGCCAAUCACAGGGCUGGGAAAUAAGCAACUUUUCACAAAUAAAGGAAAUGGCUGUUGUAGGAAACCACAAGGUAUUUAUUGUAUGAGGUCAAAGGGGAUUCUGGAUCGGGUCUGAGUGGGUCGUUGACGAGUCUAUCCAUCCAUUUUCUGUAGUGGGUAUGCUGGAGCCUAUCCCAGCUGUAUUCAUGUACACUGGACUGGUUGCCAGCCGGGCGACCAGGACACACGCAUAUUAACAGACAACCAUUCACAUUCAUAAAUCUUGUCAAUUUAGAGUAAAAAAUUACAAUAAAAUAUUUAAUUAUUUGAGUAUACUUGUAAUAUUUUUUAAAUAUAUUUUAAAUUGGCAUCUUCUUCCUUGGUAUAUAGAAAUUGCAUUUUAUUUUGCUGAUUUUUUUUUUUUUUUUAAGAUGUUAACAUUGUGCUCUGAAAUCAAUUUUGCACAUGUAUUUGGGUGUAUUUUUGUGUUUUUUGUGUGUUUUUUCACCACCAAAAUGAGGGUCCCGGUAUGAGAACCACUUUUGACAUUAUUUGUAUUAUUAUAACUACACAAAUGUUUGUUGUUAUUGUUCAUGUUUGUUGACAUUUUUUGUGUGUAUGUCAAUGAAUGGCCUUUAAAGAAUUACUCAUUAUGGAAUGAUUCCAUAAUUCAUGCACUUUUCAUGUAAUUAGUGAACAACAUCCUGUUUUUUGCUCCACAUUUAUUGUUUUAUCUGAAGAUUUUACAGAAGACGGGGUUCAUAUUGUAUGAAUCCCUCCAAUGAUUCCACUGGACCUUAUUCGGCAGAGUCACUUCCCUGGAAAAGGACGAGGGUAGUAAUUGAGUCAUCCUUAAUAUUAAUGUUUCAAUCAUGUGACCAGUAUGUGUUUAACUCGUGUUUACCUUUCCAGCGUCACGGCUCUUGGCCCUCAGCUUGUUGACCUGGGACUCGGCAAUGUCAGCACGCUCCUGCGCCUCCUCAAGCUCAUGCUGGACCUUCCUAAGCCUGGACAUGUGAUGUGACUUACCCAGCAGCUCCGGCUUGUGUCCAGUCAUCAGCUGGUAGAAGAUAUGGUAGCUCCUCUCAGCAGACAACUGGAAGGUGACACGGGACUUCUCCAGCAGAUCUGAUUGUUUGUAGACACAUCGAAAUUGAUAACGAAGCCAAUUAUGUUUUUGUGAUAUCACAUGCAGGUAAUACUCACAUGUUUCAAUAUCAGCUGAGGCCAGCUUGCCACUCGUGGCAAAGUGGAUUCUGAUGAAUUUACCCUAAAAUGUUGACCAGGUACAUCUCAGUUUGGUAAUAGUAAAUAAGAUAUGCCUUUAUUUGUCCCUCAGUGGGGAAAUACAGAGAGUACAGAAUCAGUUAAGCAGUACAAAAUACACAAUAUAGAAAAAUAAACAAUAUAAACAACCCAAGUAUUAACAAAAUCAGUUUUUCCCAGAGUUAUAUACAAUACAGUAUGUAGAUAAUAUGAAACGAGAUGAAAUAUAUAUGACCGGUCUAUACACUGAGAUCUUGCUAGUGAGUUAAUAUGAAGCAUUAUGGAAAUAUUUCACAUAGAACUUAGUAUAUUGCAAAUAUACAACACUUAUUGUAGAGCGUUACACUUUGACGACUUACGAAGCGAGACGAGUUGUCAUUCCUCACGGUUUUGGCGUUACCAUAGGCCUCCAGCAGAGGGUUGGCUGCGAUGAUUUGAUCUUCCAGGGAACCCUACAUGGAAAUUAAAAAGCUCUCAACAUAAGCCAAGAACUAAAGAUUCAAUACUGGACCAUUGGCUGUCUGCAACUCAUUUUUUAAAUUGCCACUUGCAUAUUCUAUAAAUAGGCUGCACAGCGGACAAGUGGUUACAACGCAGGCUUCACAGCUAGGAGACAUGAGUUCAAUUCCAUUAUUUCAAGUUCAAUUAUUAUUCGUUUUCUCCGGGUAGUUCCUCCCACAUUCCAGAAACAUGCUAGGUUAAUUGGUGACUCCAAAUUGUCCAUAGGUAUGAAUGUGAGUGUGAAUGGUUGUUUGUCUAUAUGUGCCCUGUGAUUGGCUGGCGACCAGUCCAGGGUGUACCCCGCCUCUCGUCUGAUGACAGCUGGGAUAGGCUCCAGCACCCCCCGCGACCCUCGUGAGGAAAAAGCGGUAGAAAAUGAAAUGAAAUGAAAUAUUCUAUAAACAGCUCACAGCUAGGAGACCUGAGUUCAAUUCCAUUAUUUCAAGUUCAAUUAUUAUUCGUUUUCUCCGGGUAGUCCGGUUUCCUCCCACAUUCCAAAAACAUGCUAGGUUAAUUGGCGACUCCAAAUUGUCCAUAGGUAUGAAUGUGAGUGUGAAUGGUUGUUUGUCUAUAUGUGCCCUGUGAUUGUCUGGCCACCAGUCCAGGGUGUCUGAUGACAGCUGGGAUAGGCUCCAGCACCUCUGCGACCCUCAUGAGGAUAACAAUAGAAAAUGAAUGAAUGAAUGCUUACCUGUAUCUUGCCAGCACCUGCUUCAGCUUUUUUGCCUCCAGCCACUGCAAUUGUUGCAAAGUACUGGAUGACACGCUUGGUGUUGACAGUCUUUCCUGCACCGGAUUCUCCACUUGGGGGCAGGGGGGGAAUAUAAAAGUAACAUUAAGCAUUUUGUGUUCAGUGCUUUCUGAGUUUUUUUUCUGUUUGACUGUGUUAAACUCACGUGAUAAGUACAGACUGAUUCUCACGAUCUGCAAUUACAAGAAAAAACAAGGUGAAUAAAUAGCAUUUUUAUUUUAAAAGUUCAGCGUCAUCUUACCAGUGAGCAUGAACUGGUAGGCGUUAUCAGAGAUGGAGAAGAUAUGAGGCGGAGCCUCAAUCCUCUUCUUGCCUCUGUAGGCGUUGACCACCUGAGAAUCGUACACGGGAAGCCACUUGUAGGGGUUCACCACGACACAGAACAGGCCGGAAUAGGUCUGCGGGACCAAGAAGAGGACCAAUCAGUGUAGCUGUAGCAGAUUUCACUGUAGUCGUGUUUAAAAAUGGAGUCUUACGUAGAUCAUCCAUGAUGCAAAACGCUCUUUGAGGUUAUACAACACGGCAGGCUCGUUGAGGUGGGUCAUCAUGGCCAUGUCCUCAAUUUUGUCGAAUUUGGGAGGGUUCAUUGGAUGGAUGUCAUCUUCUUUGACAGUUACUGACUGUAAGGCAAAUACAGUAAAAAAAAAAAAAUCAGAAUGGACAGAUCAGGAUGGAUUUGAAGCCAUGGUGUCCUUACCUUUUUUGAAAUUAGAGUCUCAACAGUAGCUUUCCCCCCCUCUUUCUUGAUGACUUUAGCUUUGACGUACAUAUCUUCAGCAUCUACCACAAAGACGGCCGACUUGGCAUCAAACGGUGUGUUCUGAGCCUCAAUCCUCUCUUUUUCUGGCUUCCGCAGGUAAAUGGCUGCGGGGCCAUACUGCUCCAUCUCCGCGUCCGUGCUCAUGGUGGCACUUUAUUGGAGACUGAAAGAAGGCAGAUUUCACUCAGAUCUUUUCUCCAUCGUGACUUAAACUUAGUCAUCAGUCUGCUCUGCGGAUAUCAACAACCAGGUAAAAAUGGCAUAACAUUUACCUCUCAAUGUCUCAACAGAAGAAGAAAUCAAGUCAGAUCUGUUGUUAUGAUUCUAUAAAAUAGAAAUAGGAAUACGGGUCAUUGAUAUUUCAAUCAAAACAUGAUUGAAAACAAAAGUAACAAACACAAACCUGAGUUGAAAGCCUACCAGUCAUUGUCUUAGUCCUCGGCGCCGUCUUUUAUAGAAGACCACUGUCUCCUCAGAAGGUGUGACCUGCUCAGUUUGGUCAUGUAUUCUUGUCAUGUUGUCGCUAAUCCUGUGACAUUGACAUUUAGUGUCAUUGUGUUGCCUUGUGCCUAGUUUUAUGGCUGCCUCAUGUUUGCUCCCUGUGCCCAAGAUAAAUGGUGGUAAUGGACAGAAACAGGUCAAUAAACAAGGAUAUCAAAGGCUAACUUAUGUCAUAGUGUAGCUUUUUAAAUACUACUUAAGGUUAACUUUGUGCUCUCUCUCUAUUAGCAAGGGACAGUUUUAUUUAGCAAACUAAAAGAAAAACUUUGUUUGCAAAUUAAUUGUUGCCUAUGACGAUACUGCACUUGUGUACAAUACCAGGUACCGACUUUUUGGAAAAGCUUAUAAAUGUCACUGGUAUACAGUUGCAGAACAAGUCAUUAUUUCCGACUUUAUUCUUAAAAUUAAUUAGAAUUAAAUAUAAUUAAUUAUUAAUUAAUGAAAUUAAUUAUAUGGACAACAAAAUUAGUUUUCAGUUAAUUUAAUUAAUAACACAAGUAUGUGUGAUGA